Salmo salar (Atlantic salmon) is the source of this 1007-nucleotide non-coding RNA. The record is from RefSeq and is a predicted model, not a curated record. Lineage: Eukaryota; Metazoa; Chordata; Actinopteri; Salmoniformes; Salmonidae.
AGACCCACCCCCAGAGCCUGACGCGGGGCAACGUGUGUCCUUCUGUCUCCUUGAUGAUCAACCCCAGGUGUCCAUAUGUGGAGGCAAGGGAUCCUCGACUGCUUCACCACCUGGAAGACCGUGCUGGCCAACCUGUCACUGCUCGUCACAGAAUUUAGGUCUGCAUUUCAAAAGGAAACGUCCUUCUUUGCCACAUAUCCAAUCAGAGCUCAGAUGCUACCUACUGCAGCACAAUCCAAUGCACAUGCAGUCUUUGGAACCUGGCAGCUGACCUCAACUAAGCAGCUCUACCCCAAAAGCCAGACAUUCCUCACUGUCCCCCACACCACUUCCUAGAGAAAUAGGUUCCAUAGAUCUGUCCAUUCUGAGUCAACCUUGCUGCAAUUGGACCCUACUGCAUGCAACUCACUGCUAGUCCAGUUCCCUCCCUCUGCAAAUGAUCCAGAACGUAGCAAUAUCUGGUGUUACAACCUUUCCAUGUCCUCCUAUGUCAUACCACUCCUCCACUGGUUUCCUGAGGAUGCUUACAUCAAAUGUAAUACUCUGUUGCUUGAUUCAGUGCAGUGAAGGGCACUCCUCUUCCUUUUUUCAACAGUGAACAUCUAAAUAGAGGAUGAUAAGUGUGUGUGUUUGUUUUUCCAUGCCGCUGCUGCCUUCACCCCUAUUACAGCGCUUCUUUACAUGUUGCCUUGUAUGUGUUUGUGACUGAACUGAUUAACAUGUUACAAAUAUGAACUAUACACCCUUUGACACAAUCCCUGUCUCCAUGAUGGAUAACGUCCUGGAACUAUGAAGUGCUCCUGAAAGCGAAUUAUUAUAUUUUCAUGGGUUAUUUGUCGUUUUUCUCUUAUUACCGGUGUUUUUGUAAAAAGAGGGCGACCAAAUUACCACCUCAUCGACAGGGGGAUUGUGCGAUAGAUCUCCAGGUUAACGCUGCGCUUCCCAAGAGUCACGUGUACCCCUUGUCACAGGAGGAGACGGUGGCUAUGGAGACAUAUGUCAUGGAA